Molecule: long non-coding RNA, 1730 nt
Filed under: Parus major (Great Tit)
Lineage: Eukaryota; Metazoa; Chordata; Aves; Passeriformes; Paridae
Description: lncRNA (ENSPMJG00000010321.1)
Source: RNAcentral
CUGGUCAGUAAAAGAGGUAGAAAGACACCUUUGCUGACAGAGGAAAGGAGAAAGUAGAAAAAGGAAAAGACACAUCUAAGCUGUUCCUCCUGCCCUUCUCAACCAGGCUGAAUGGAGACUGAAUAACAGAGGAUAGAGAUCUCACCAUUUCCUAUCCAGGCAGGCUGUGCCAGGAUAGGAAAGUGCUCCCUUUCAGUGCUCCCUUAUUACUGUCAACCCACUGAAACCAGAAUGGCUGAGAGCAGAGUGUCCCUGCAUAGCCCUUCUCCCGAGGAGUGAGGACACCAGCUAGGUGGGAGAUCAGAGUGCAAGAUGGAAAUCCAGCUCCCGUCUCUGCUGAAAUAUGAAUUCUAAAAUUCUAAAAAAAACAGGUAUUAAUUAAAUAUCUGGCUUAUGAAAUAACAGUCUUUUUUCCAAUGAAGGUGGUCUGCAAUUUAGGCUGAUGUAAAGUAGGUUUAAAUAGGAAUUAAAUUUUUAAAAAGUCAAGGCAGAAUUCAGAGAUCUUAUCAUUGUUUUCUGUGUCAGCACACUACUUCAGUGAGUACAAUUUAAAUACCAAGUCAAUUAAGUGCCAUAAAUUCCUCAGGUGUAACUAAAUCUAGUUAAUUGUGGUGAAGUGCUGCCUAGCUACAUCAAUCAAACGGAUGAAACAUUUGGGGGGAAAAAACAAAAACAAAUCCAAAAAUCAGAAUGGGAUUUAGAAGAAGCUGAUGGAAGAAAAGAAGUACUGCAUUCAAUGCACUAUAAAAAUUCUAGUCUGGGCUGUUGGUUGUUUUUCUAAUUAAAAAUAAAAAAAAGCCAUACUGGCAGAAGUGGUCCAAUGAAGUCUUGGACAAAGCCCUGCUGUGCAAGUGAGGCAUGAGUUCAUCCCAGACCUAGCCAGACUCUACUGUAGAAAAUUAAAAGUUAUUUACCCAUUUCAUUCAGCUUCUGGAUUAUGCCUUUUCUGAUCACAUUAGCUCUUACCUUCUUCUUGCAGGACAAAAUCACUGGCCUGGAGCACAUCACUAAACAGAAAAUUAAUUACAGUUGUCUGCUGGGUGUAGAAUGCUUGUCAAUGGGACUGAAUCCAGUAGUCCCCAUAGAUCUCCAGGCCACUGGACACAGAAACCAACCAAACAACCACACUUUCCUGUUGAAGAAUCCAGGUUUCCUCCUUCAGGAACCAAGGCUGACAAACCUAUUUAAUCUUUCAUAUUGGCACAGUGAUAACUUCUUUUUAAAUAUUUCAUAUUGUUGUACUGAUAAAGAACAUAAGACAAAACUUGGCACGAGCACAGUCCAGAGGAGAAUCUGCUUAAAAAUAAAACACUUGGGAGAAUGGAAGGAAACAAGUAGCCAUGUGGCUGGAAACAAAAUUAAUUUAAGGUAAGCAGGUCAAGCCUAUAAUGAAGUGCUUGUAAACAAAGAAAAUCCAAACAUUUCUACUAAUCAUCAGCUCCAAUUAUUUCACUAACACCCCCUCAUUAGAUGUACUUAGUGGCUUGCAGCUAUUCUUUUUUCUAAACCCAUGUGCUGUCAUCCUUUCUGAGAUGGCUCUAGAGGGCUGAGAUGUAGACAAAUGCAAGGAUUAAUCCAGCAGCCUGGCCAGCCAAGGCACAGAUGCAUUAGGUGGUGGCUGUGGUCCUUUGCAGUGUGUGUGCCACAGUGGCAGAGUAGAAGGUAUAUAUGUAUGGAUUCCAGUAUAUCCAGUACAUAUAUACUGCUGGUACCAAGGGCAUGCCCUUGUU